GCCUUGGUGGUGUAAUGGUCAGCACACUGAGCCGGUAUUUCAGAGGUCCGUGGUUCGAUUCUCGGCGAAGGCC
Molecule: transfer RNA, 73 nt
Filed under: Stegodyphus mimosarum
Lineage: Eukaryota; Metazoa; Arthropoda; Arachnida; Araneae; Eresidae
Rfam family: tRNA
About the family: Transfer RNA (tRNA) molecules are approximately 80 nucleotides in length.
Source: Rfam by way of RNAcentral